RNAcentral lists this non-coding RNA (32 nucleotides) under Rattus norvegicus (Norway rat). The record is from RNAcentral. Lineage: Eukaryota; Metazoa; Chordata; Mammalia; Rodentia; Muridae.
UAAAACACUGCAGCAGACCUGCGUGUCAGCCA